GUUCUUCUAAAAACUAUAUUGAAAGAGCGUAUAAUUAUGAAUUCAAUAACAUUUCGUUUGUUCUUGGCAGCAGUUUUAACCCUAACGGUUACAAUAAUGCCUGCAGUAUAUGCAACUGCUGAACCCGAUGCGGAUGCUUUCCAUGGUCCAUGUCCAGAAGUUAAUGGACGUAAGGUCAAGUGUUGACGGAGCAUAUUCCGAGGGGACUAUUUAUAAGCAUUAAGCUUAUAAAUGUAUUGCAAUUUAUGAAAGCAAUAAACAAAAGUUUAAAUUAGA
This is a long non-coding RNA of Wasmannia auropunctata (little fire ant), 276 nucleotides long. RefSeq lists it as uncharacterized. NCBI's taxonomy places the organism in Eukaryota, Metazoa, Arthropoda, Insecta, Hymenoptera, Formicidae. The record is from RefSeq and is a predicted model, not a curated record. The transcript is spliced from 2 exons.